Molecule: long non-coding RNA, 265 nt
Filed under: Elaeis guineensis (African oil palm)
Lineage: Eukaryota; Viridiplantae; Streptophyta; Magnoliopsida; Arecales; Arecaceae
Description: long non-coding RNA (EGUI_LNC058419)
Source: RNAcentral
ACAAGUGAAGUGGUGGGCGGAGUCCGACUCCCGUAGGAGUCCAGACGAAGUCUGCCUGCAGCUAGAGUAGGGGAUGAGGUCCGGCUCCCGUAGGAGUCCGGACGAAGUCCAGAAGAUGGUCGAUCAUCGUGGAAAUUCGGGUGGAGUUCGUCCAUCACGAAGAAUCCGAUUGACACUGGUGGGGGCUUAUCCGUCCGCAAAACUUGGGAGUGUUGCGGAGGCUCGGCCACCUGGGAGGUUUGAAGAGAUGUCGUUGGAGGUCGGA